This 76-nucleotide small nucleolar RNA is filed under the name Notechis scutatus (mainland tiger snake). Lineage: Eukaryota; Metazoa; Chordata; Lepidosauria; Squamata; Elapidae. The record is from RNAcentral.
GCUAACUGCUAAUAAUUCAAUUGUUAUCAAUGUGAUCUGUGAUGAACUUUAUCACCAUCUUUCGGCUGAUGUUGGA